GUGAUCGUACGAAUGGCGAUCUUAACGUGAGAAUUCUAGCAGAUAUAUUUUGAUGAAUGCUGUUUAGAAACAGUGUACUAUCAUGUUGAUGGCUUAGCCUUAGACCCUUCCCAGUGCAGUUGAAAAAUUAGAUAGUUACAGACAGAUGGAUACCACCAAAAUCAUUUGCAUUCAGAUCACCAGAAAAAACACAGCAAAAGUUGGACACUUAUGACAUUGUGAAGAUAAACCGUCAAACACCAGAUCAAAAUACAGUUAUCCCGUUGUUUUAACUAGAGUAGUCCUGAACUGUUUUAAAGGGAGAAUGAUGUUUAUUAUGAUUUUCCAGAAUAUUACUAUGCAUAAGUAUG
Molecule: long non-coding RNA, 350 nt
Organism: Bombyx mori (domestic silkworm)
Lineage: Eukaryota; Metazoa; Arthropoda; Insecta; Lepidoptera; Bombycidae
Exons: 2
Source: RefSeq, a predicted model, not a curated record